GAUGAACGCUAGCUAUAGGCUUAACACAUGCAAGUCGAGGGGCAGCGAAUAGAUAGCUUGCUAUUUAUGUCGGCGACCGGCGCACGGGUGAGUAACGCGUAUCCAACCUGCCCAUAACUAAGGGAUAACCCAGCGAAAGUUGGACUAAUACCUUAUGUAUUCGUUUGAUCUCAUGAGAUUACGAAUAAAGAUUUAUCGGUUAUGGAUGGGGAUGCGUCUGAUUAGCUUGUUGGCGGGGUAACGGCCCACCAAGGCAACGAUCAGUAGGGGUUCUGAGAGGAAGGUCCCCCACAUUGGAACUGAGACACGGUCCAAACUCCUACGGGAGGCAGCAGUGAGGAAUAUUGGUCAAUGGACGCAAGUCUGAACCAGCCAAGUAGCGUGCAGGAUGACGGCCCUAUGGGUGGUAAACUGCUUUUAGAUGGGGAUAAAGUGGGGAACGUGUUCCCUUUUGCAGGUACCAUAUGAAUAAGGACCGGCUAAUUCCGUG
Molecule: ribosomal RNA, 490 nt
Filed under: uncultured bacterium
Lineage: Bacteria
Description: partial 16S ribosomal RNA
Rfam family: Bacterial small subunit ribosomal RNA
Source: RNAcentral